GCGUAGAGAUCAAGAUCCUCCUACAUCUUCUUGUUCUCUAAGAGUGUCUUAGGAGAAAAGAAGAUUUUCAACCAUCAAGAUGCGAUCUCUGUAAGGGAGCUAGCUCCCCGAUGUGAUCAAAAGAUUUCUGAUCAGAUUAGAGUCUCGUGUGGAUACCCAUAGAGGUCGGAUGCUUAUGCGGCUACAAGGGACCUUCAAAGAAUAUCUAUGAUCAUCUGUUCACGUUGAAGAUUGAUUCAUGUCCAGGUAUGUUUUAAAUUUAUUUUUUUAUUUAAUUUAUGUAUCUAAAUCUUAUCUCACAUAUGAUGAUCCUGUUUAUGGUUUGAAGAUAUGAUCUUAUGCAUGCUUAGAUUAAAUUAGAUUUAAUCUAAAUU
RNAcentral lists this long non-coding RNA (374 nucleotides) under Elaeis guineensis (African oil palm). RNAcentral describes it as "long non-coding RNA (EGUI_LNC057933)". The record is from RNAcentral. Lineage: Eukaryota; Viridiplantae; Streptophyta; Magnoliopsida; Arecales; Arecaceae.